CAGCAUGCUGAGAGCUGUAACUCAGGGGCGGUAGCGUG
Erwinia tasmaniensis is the source of this 38-nucleotide non-coding RNA. NCBI's taxonomy places the organism in Bacteria, Pseudomonadati, Pseudomonadota, Gammaproteobacteria, Enterobacterales, Erwiniaceae. The record is from Rfam.